CGGGGCGUGGCGCAGCCUGGUAGCGUACUUGCAUGGGGCGCAAGAGGUCGCUGGUUCAAAUCCAGUCGUCCCGA
RNAcentral lists this transfer RNA (74 nucleotides) under Legionellales bacterium. RNAcentral's name for it is "tRNA-Pro". It matches the Rfam family "tRNA". Rfam says of the family: Transfer RNA (tRNA) molecules are approximately 80 nucleotides in length. Their secondary structure includes four short double-helical elements and three loops (D, anti-codon, and T loops). The record is from RNAcentral. Lineage: Bacteria; Pseudomonadati; Pseudomonadota; Gammaproteobacteria; Legionellales.